GCCAGCGUAGCUCAACGGCAGAGCAACGCCUCCGUAACGCGUAGGUUGUCGGUUCAAAUCCGACCGCUGGCU
RNAcentral lists this transfer RNA (72 nucleotides) under Parcubacteria group bacterium CG08_land_8_20_14_0_20_43_9. RNAcentral describes it as "tRNA-Thr". It matches the Rfam family "tRNA". Rfam says of the family: Transfer RNA (tRNA) molecules are approximately 80 nucleotides in length. The record is from RNAcentral.